This 407-nucleotide unclassified non-coding RNA is filed under the name Hevea brasiliensis (rubber tree). Lineage: Eukaryota; Viridiplantae; Streptophyta; Magnoliopsida; Malpighiales; Euphorbiaceae. The record is from RNAcentral.
AAUUUGAGGAUUCUUAAUUUUAAAUCAAAUACAAGUGAAAUUUGCUUGUGCUGCUAUUUCAUGAAUUAUGUAGUUAUAAGGUAAAAACAACCAAGUGCAGCUUGAAAUAAACUUCAAGUGUGAGACUGCUGUUUGAAUUGAACUAGAACUUGAUCAUAAAAGGACUUAAUAAUUUUAUCUUUGCUGUCCUUUUUAAAAAUUGAGAUUGAUGUAUCAAUCCUGGAGUUUGAUUAAAUAAUUGUUCAUUCUCCUUUUAUAGGCGCAGUGUACAAAUUGACAUACUUGCAACUAUCUUCUGCUUUAGGGUUUUCCAUAUCUAACUGGAUUCUACAAAUUGCUAUUUUUCCUUAGACCAAAAAAAAGAAAAAUGUAUUAAGUAUCCUACUUUUCCUAACACGGUAUAUCAU